GUCGAACGCUGGCGGCGUGCUUAACACAUGCAAGUCGAACGGAAAGGCCCUGCUUGUGUGUGGUGCUCGAGUGGCGAACGGGUGAGUAACACGUGAGUAACCUGCCCUUGACUUUGGGAUAACUUCAGGAAACUGGGGCUAAUACCGGAUAGGAGCUCCUGCUGCAUGGGGGGGGUUGGAAAGUUUCGGCGGUUGUGGAUGGACUCGCGGCUUAUCAGCUUGUUGGUGGGGUAGUGGCUUACCAAGGCUUUGACGGGUAGCCGGCCUGAGAGGGUGACCGGCCACAUUGGGACUGAGGUACGGCCCAGAGUCCUACGGGGGGCAGGAGUGGGGAAUAUUGCCCAAUGGGGCGAAGCCUGAUGCAGAAACGGCGGGUGCGGGAAGAAGGCCUUCGGGUUGUAAACCGCUUUAGGCUGUGACCAAGCGUGAGUGACGGUAAUGGGUAAAGAAGCACCGGCUAACUACGUG
RNAcentral lists this ribosomal RNA (468 nucleotides) under uncultured bacterium. RNAcentral describes it as "partial 16S ribosomal RNA". It matches the Rfam family "Bacterial small subunit ribosomal RNA", at positions 28 to 507 of the family's 1533-position model. The record is from RNAcentral.